UACGGAGGGUGCAAGCGUUGCUCGGAAUUACUGGGCGUAAAGCGCGUGUAGGCGGUCAUUGAAGUCCGGUGUGAAAGCCCUCGGCUUAACCGAGGAAGUGCGCCGGAAACCAAAUGACUAGAGUGUCGGAGGGGAACGUGGAAUUCCCAGUGUAGAGGUGAAAUUCGUAGAUAUUGGGAGGAAUACCAGUGGCGAAGGCGACGUUCUAGACGACAACUGACGCUAAGACGCGACAGCGUGGGGAGCAAAC
This 250-nucleotide ribosomal RNA is filed under the name uncultured bacterium. Its description in RNAcentral is "partial 16S ribosomal RNA". It matches the Rfam family "Bacterial small subunit ribosomal RNA", at positions 524 to 773 of the family's 1533-position model. The record is from RNAcentral.